RNAcentral lists this unclassified non-coding RNA (1619 nucleotides) under Centruroides sculpturatus (bark scorpion). Its description in RNAcentral is "tPPP family protein CG45057-like, transcript variant X1". The record is from RNAcentral. Lineage: Eukaryota; Metazoa; Arthropoda; Arachnida; Scorpiones; Buthidae.
GGUGAAGGUUUGUUUGUAUAUAUUUGCUAUAUUUAUCUUCGUUUGGCAUGCUUAAAUCCGACGGUCACGUGACGCGACGUCACUACCCAUUGGGAUGCGGAGGAGACGCGUGACGCUCGCGCUUAAAAGCCAGGUGCAAGCCGAAAGUGCACCUGCCUGCAGAAUGACCUCUGAACCUGCCAUGACGUCAGCAAUGAAAAGAAUCUUUUAGGUUAAGUCGUUUUUGAACCCGAUUAAACACGAGCCGAUACGGGUUAAACAAAAAAAAAAAGUCUCGUGCCAAGGUUGCAUGAAUGUAAAAAUACCUAUCUAUAUAUGCAUAAUCACAUUAAUUUCCACAGAAUUUAAAAUCGAAUAUUUAAAGAGAAAUUUAAAAAUAAAAAUAAAAUAGAAUUCUCGCGACUCUAAUUUAAAUUUUUUAAGCGAUCGAGGAAAAAGAAUUUUGAAAGAAAUUGAAUCUAAAUAGAGAAAAGGAGAAGAAAAAAAAAUGGCAGAAGUAACCGAUACAGAAAAAAAGAUACAUACUUUAUCAACAUUAGAAAUGUCCUUUGGGAGUCGAGACAAACAGAUUAAAAAAUUGAAAAAUCUGAUCAACAGCCAACAAAAAGUGAUCGGUAAGCAAAAAAAGAAAAUAAAUGUCUUAGAAAAGAUACUGGAUGAAGUAACAGAAAAAGAGAAAAACGUUAAAGAAAAAUACAAAAUUUCCACUAAGGAAGGAAGCACUAAACAUAAAAAGAAAUCGGUCGAGUUACAUCAAACGGAAUUACCUUUUAACCGUGGCGAUAAUCUAGAAGUACAUCAGAUGGCUUCACCUUCUUCGGGACCGUCUUCUCGCCCCGAAACCCCGACUCAAGCUGGAACGUUGGAGGACCAGUUCAAACUUUUUGCCAAAUUCGGUGAUUCUAAAAAUACGGGAGAAGCGAUCACGCUGUCCAAUAGCGAUAAAUGGUUCAAACAGGCCAAAGUUAUCGACGGAAAAACCGUCACAACUACAGACACGGGAAUCUAUUUUAAGAAAGUGGCCAAAACAAAACGCGCCCUGACUAAGAAAGAGUACCUCAUCUUCCUAGAAACUAUAGCAACUAAUAAAAAAGUCAACUUGGAUGAAAUGAAGGAGAAGCUGUCAUCUUGCGGACCACCCGGCUUUAGUGGGACUACGCCGGUGGCCAGUGGAGGUGCAGUUAGUAGACUAACAGACCACACGAAAUUCACAGGAACGCACAAACAAAGGUUCGACCACAGCGGUAAAGGUAAAGGUAAAGAAGGCAGAGUCGACCUAACACCUAAUUCCGGUUACGUACAAGGUUAUAAAGCCGAGGGAUCGUACAACAAAACACAUUGACCAAUACUCGUGAAUCCAUUUCGUGUAGUAUCCUCGUAGUGCGUGUUUAGUGGGACGUCAACUCGCAAAUCAAAAAAGAAAUCAACUCUCUUCCGAUAAAAUUUAUCUAAAACUUGAGCAAAAUCUAUAUGUGAAAGAACGUAUCGUAAAGUUUACCAUAACAGGAUUGCCUUUCUGACUUAAAAUAAAUCGACAUCAAUACAGAACUGCCUCCUCAUAUACAUAAAUGCAUAAAGCUAACUAAAUCACUGCUACUAUCAUCAAUCAUAUGUUCAAG